CGCGUAGUUAGCCGUGGCUUAUUCGACAGGUACCGUCUUCUGCUCUUCCCUGUCAAAAGAAGUUUACAACCCGAAAGCCUUCUUCCUUCACGCGGCGUUGCUGGGUCAGGCUUGCGCCCAUUGCCCAAUAUUCCCCACUGCUGCCUCCCGUAGGAGUCUGGGCCGUAUCUCAGUCCCAAUGUGGCCGGCCAACCUCUCAGUCCGGCUACUGAUCGUCGCCUUGGUAGGCCGUUACCCUACCAACUAGCUAAUCAGACGCGAGGCCAUCUCUCAGCGAUAAAUCUUUGGUACCAGUACCAUGCGAUACCCGUACGUUAUGCGGUAUUAGCAGUCGUUUCCAACUGUUGUCCCCCUCUGAAAGGCAGGUUCCUCACGCGUUACUCACCCGUCCGCCACUAAGUAGUCCUCUCCAUUGACCGAAAUCUCUUUCGAGGGUACUCCGUUCGACUUGCAUGUGUUAAGCACGCCGCCAGCGUUCGUCCUGAGCCAGGAUCAAACUCU
This 501-nucleotide ribosomal RNA is filed under the name uncultured Oscillibacter sp. RNAcentral's name for it is "partial 16S ribosomal RNA". The record is from RNAcentral. Lineage: Bacteria; Bacillati; Bacillota; Clostridia; Eubacteriales; Oscillospiraceae.